AGAGUUUGAUCAUGGCUCAGGACGAACGCUGGCGGCGUGCUUAACACAUGCAAGUCGAACGGUGAUGGCCAGCUUGCUGGUCUGAUCAGUGGCGAACGGGUGAGUAACACGUGAGCAACCUGCCCUUCACUCUGGAAUAACUACCGGAAACGGUGGCUAAUACCGGAUAUGAGACGUACACGCAUGUGUCGCGUCUGGAAAGAUUUAUCGGUGAAGGAUGGGCUCGCGGCCUAUCAGCUUGUUGGUGGGGUAGUGGCCCACCAAGGCGACGACGGGUAGCCGGCCUGAGAGGGCGACCGGCCACACUGGGACUGAGAUACGGCCCAGACUCCUACGGGAGGCAGCAGUGGGGAAUAUUGCACAAUGGGCGCAAGCCUGAUGCAGCGACGCCGCGUGAGGGAUGACGGCCUUCGGGUUGUAAACCUCUUUCAGCAGGGAAGAAGCGAAAGUGACGGUACCUGCAGAAGAAGCGCCGGCUAACUACGUGCCAGCAGCCGCGGUAAUACGUAGGGCGCAAGCGUUGUCCGGAAUUAUUGGGCGUAAAGAGCUCGUAGGCGGUUUGUCGCGUCUGCUGUGAAAACCUAAGGCUCAACCUUGGGCUUGCAGUGGGUACGGGCAGACUAGAGUGCGGUAGGGGUGACUGGAAUUCCUGGUGUAGCGGUGGAAUGCGCAGAUAUCAGGAGGAACACCGAUGGCGAAGGCAGGUCACUGGGCCGCAACUGACGCUGAGGAGCGAAAGCAUGGGGAGCGAACCGGAUUAGAUACCCUAGUAGUCC
RNAcentral lists this ribosomal RNA (776 nucleotides) under uncultured bacterium. Its description in RNAcentral is "bacterial SSU rRNA". It matches the Rfam family "Bacterial small subunit ribosomal RNA", at positions 8 to 796 of the family's 1533-position model. The record is from RNAcentral.